CCUACGGGCGGCAGCAGUGAGGAAUAUUGGUCAAUGGACGAGAGUCUGAACCAGCCAAGUAGCGUGAAGGAUGACUGCCCUAUGGGUUGUAAACUUCUUUUAUAUGGGAAUAAAAUGUUCCACGUGUGGGAUUUUGUAUGUACCAUAUGAAUAAGGAUCGGCUAACUCCGUGCCAGCAGCCGCGGUAAUACGGAGGAUCCGAGCGUUAUCCGGAUUUAUUGGGUUUAAAGGGAGCGUAGGUGGAUUGUUAAGUCAGUUGUGAAAGUUUGCGGCUCAACCGUGAAAUUGCAGUUGAAACUGGCAGUCUUGAGUACAGUAGAGGUGGGCGGAAUUCGUGGUGUAGCGGUGAAAUGCUUAGAUAUCACGAAGAACUCCGAUUGCGAAGGCAGUUCACUGGACUGCAACUGACACUGAGGCUCGAAAGUGGGGGUAUCAAACAGGAUUAGAUACCCGAGUAGUC
Molecule: ribosomal RNA, 460 nt
Filed under: uncultured bacterium
Lineage: Bacteria
Description: partial 16S ribosomal RNA
Rfam family: Bacterial small subunit ribosomal RNA
Source: RNAcentral